GCAUAAAAUGCGACGAAUUUAUAGUUUAAUCCUUUACACUUUUGCUUAGUUAUUUCGUUAAAAAGAUCAAACUAACUUUGUUAUUUUCUUAGGAGGUUUGUGGAUCAACCAUGGAAAAAUAGGAGCUCAAUUGUGGCAAGUUAAGGCUCAGAUGUAUAAUACUGAUGCAAAAGAUGAAGGACAACCAUUUAUGUGGUCAGAAACAAGAAGGGAAGCUUGUGGAAAACUUCGUGCAAAACAGUUGCUGAGAAGCAAAAUAUGAAAACUGGAAUCUGCCUUAUUUUCUUCUAUAUUUGGACCCCAUUUUGAAGAUAUUUUGAGUGCACCAUGGCAGCAAUUCUUGACUACAUGUGAAAACCAGAUAUUUCACUACAAUAAAGCCAAAUCAAGUGAUCAUAAUAGUCAAGGAUCAAGUCAGAAACGUUGCACAAAGUAGGCAUCCUGAUCAGCUUUCCACCUUCAGUCUUAUCUAUGAAGCAUAUUGGAGCUGUCUUUUGGAGACUUUCUUGGAAAGUCUUUUGGAAGGAUAUUGUUUGGACGUCAAUAAAUGAUAUCAUAGGGCAUUAUAGGCCUAAGAAACGUUCAGAAAGAUAGCUACAAGGUCGGUGUACAAGCCCAUAAAAUUGACCAGAAGAUAAGGAAAAUCUGGAAAUUUCUGACAGACCUUAUCUUGAAGGCUUUUCAAGGCUGCUUUUGGGCAGCAAGUUGAGGGGAUUUUUAGAAGAUCUUUAUACACUCUUAAAUAUCAACAUCAAGGCUGUUAUCUUGUUAAAAAUCACAUUCAAAGCUGAAAUGAAACCGAGUUAAAAGAAGGGCUAAAAAGGCAAUCCUAAGUGAGGCAGAUAAGGAAGUCACCUUCCUUAUCUCUUGGCAGAUUGUUUUGAGGCUUCUUGGGGAUCCUUUGCUGAGUUAUACACGUUUUAUAUGAGCUGUUAGCAUGUUUUAUAUCAGCUGUAAAGGAUCUACAAGUCAAAGAAUUCAGCCUAAGAAGAGAAAAUCAAAUAGAACAAGUAAACAAGCUUGGCCUAAUUGCAAGAGUGCCCUUGAAACUUGCAACUCCUACAUAAAGGGGCCUCCUUCCAUGUUUUAUAAAUAGAGUGACCAACCACAUACAGACCAUAUCACAUAAAAAAGAACCAGAGACACACCAAAGAAGAAGAAGAAGAAGAAGAAGCAAGACUGCAAAAUCACACCAGAGACGAUCGAUCACUGUUUCUCAAAGAUCGAUCAUUGAUCGUAUUUUUCCCAAUUUCUGAUUUUUGUUGUCUUCCUUUCUCAUGAACUCCUUUGUGUUUUUGAUUCCAAUUAUGUGUAACUAAAUUUCCAGUAGCUAGGGAGCUGUUGAAGCCCCUAGACAUGAUCCAUAACAUGCUUUGAUUUUCGGUUUGUUUUCAAUUAAUAAAGUUGAGGUUUUGUUUACCAAUUUCUCAUUGAUGAAUUCUAUGUUUGUAUGCUUUGGAGGACUACUUAGUAUGCAUGCUAGGGUUCUAAUACUUUGAUGGUUUGAUGCCUGGAUCAAUAGUUGGAUUCCUCAAAUUAUCUAGAGAAGUAAUUGGUAGUUUUCACUAGCAAGUAAACAAAAUCCUAGGUUUAGCAAGGCUCUAAGUUAUUUGCGAUGCCUAGUGAUUGCUCAAACUCUUUUCAAACUUAAUGAUCUCUGCAUGUUUAAUCUAAUAAACGUACCUUUAGGUUGCAUUGCUUGGGAAUAGUCUAGGUGUAGAGCACUUCCUGCCUAGCGUACAAGGUAAGAAAGAGUAAUAGGUUGUGUUCAAGCGUACCGAGCCAAUCUGAGUAUCUUCAACUAAGUUAAUUGGUGAUAAAUUGGACAAAGUGUGUUGUGUGUUAUUGUUGGGGGUGGAUACUUCCUUCCUAGCUAGUUUCAUUAUCUUGAUCUCAACCAACUUCAAAUCUGCUUCAAUUUCAUUUUUCUUUCUGUUCUCUGUUUUUCUGUAUUUUAUUUCCAUAGCAAAUCAACUCCAAAAUUCACCAAAUUUUGUGUGCUAGACUCUUUACGUGUGUAGUAUAUCUCUGUAAAUUUUCGUAUUUUUCUGGGUUGUUUUAGUUAGGUUUUUAGUUUGUUUUUCUACUGCGGUUCAGUAGGAGCUGCAGUCACGUUUUUGUGACUUUUGUUGAAGCCUUUAGUUUAUCUUAAUCCUCUGCGGGAGACUCUUAUUUUCCUAUAUUACAAUCGACAUAUUUGCAGGAGAAUAAGGAAAAUCAAUAGCUUUAAAAAGAGCUAUCAUUUACCUUUGAAAUAGAGGAUGAAUGCAACAGCUGUAUAUAUUCAGACAAAUAUAAUUCUUAUGGGCCCACCACGUUUCAACAAAGCAAAUAGAAAACAGACGUUUAAAGGAAACCAACAACUGACAGAGACAUCAGAAAAUGGUACUACUGGAAACAAACAACAGCAACCAAACAAAAACAGGGAAACAAAGCAAAACUGGGUAAACCUGCCCUGAACAAGGCAAGAAAACCAGAAAACAACAACAACAAAAAAUUUGGGGGGGAGCAGCAGCGUCAAAGAGGAGAAUGCGCAUUAGGGAGGGGGGGGGGUUAGAAAACCAGUCCCCUGGGCACACCAUGCGCGAGGCCAAAGAUGCAACCAAAUCCGCCGCACCAUUCGCCCUUCUACUGGUCCAGCACCAGUUAACACAAUUGAAAUUGCAGGCAUGAGCACGAAGCCUAGCUACAAUAGUCGAAGCCCACCAAUCAACUGCCGAAAGAGGGUUUUUCAAAGCUGAAAUCAAGAUCAAGGAAUCUGAUUCAAGCUGAAAGGAAGAGAAAGAAAAGGAGGAAGCUAAACUGAGACCCAGGUCGAGAGCCAUGGCUUCAGCAGCUAGAGAGGAGGAGGCAGAUGCACUUCUUGAGAGCCCUCCCAGAAGAUUCUCAGCUGAGUCUCGAGCCAAAGCAGCAAAACCACAUUGCAGAGAGUCAUAAUUCCAGGCCGCAUACCAGGGGGGAGGAACCCAGUGAGGGGUUUCUUGUGAUGCAAUAGGGCCCACCCUCUGGCAGGGGGGUCUCAGGUUGGGAAAUAUAUCAUACCAUGUAAAGAUAUCAGGGAGAUGGAGUCAUGGAAUUACCCAAUGUGGUUUAUUGUAUAUUAAUGGGGUAAAAGAAUAAGAAUGAUCAUACUAUUGAUCACUAGAUAAUCUCAAGUAGCAUUGAUAA
This is a long non-coding RNA of Rosa rugosa (rugosa rose), 3168 nucleotides long. RefSeq lists it as uncharacterized. The transcript has 2 exons. The record is from RefSeq and is a predicted model, not a curated record. Lineage: Eukaryota; Viridiplantae; Streptophyta; Magnoliopsida; Rosales; Rosaceae.